Molecule: long non-coding RNA, 683 nt
Organism: Cebus imitator (Panamanian white-faced capuchin)
Lineage: Eukaryota; Metazoa; Chordata; Mammalia; Primates; Cebidae
Exons: 6
Source: RefSeq, a predicted model, not a curated record
CUUAGUAAUGCUCACCCAAUUACCUUUCCUAGUAUAUCUUCAUCAUGUUAAAGUGUUUGAGAACUGCUUUGGAGAUUCUAUUAAGUCCAAAUGAGCAUUAAAAAGGAGAGAGAGAGAGGAAGAAGUAUCUCUUGAGAAAGUACAUCCUAUUCCCAAGUGUGAAACCCUUUGUUAUACAAGACGUGCCGCAAGAAAUGAGAGGAGUAAAAGACCUUCUCCCAAGUAUUUGGAACUGACCCUCAGCAGUGAUUGUUCCAAGACGUAGGCCAUGACAAGCAAAAUUGUCAGUACUGGCCUAGAGAAUGGCAAGCAGGAGCCCUUCAAACAAGCAACAUGAAUAAAGGCUCAGGGGGAAAAAAGAGAAGUUCAGCAACAGUUGAGUCUCCUACUGCUGGAAAUAACAGGACUUUUGUUUUCUAUUUGAUUGGGAAGUGUUAGAAUGGCAACAGUGACAAAUCCUAUGGCAAAUCUUUAUGCGAAGGUGCUAAGAAUUCAGUGAUGAAAACAUGAUGUCUCCUAGGCAUGGAAAUAACAUUGUACUGAUUUCUUCGUGACAAUUAAAUCGUGUAGAAUUUAGAAGCAAUUUUUUUAACAUUUACUUUAGUAGUUUAUUGGACUCUUUCCCCCAUUUCCAAUUUUUUGAAUUAUGAGACAAUUUUUUUCAUCUAAUUCUCAUUAGUUUU